AAAAAUUCCCGCCUGAGCGGGAAU
RNAcentral lists this small RNA (24 nucleotides) under Pantoea ananatis. Lineage: Bacteria; Pseudomonadati; Pseudomonadota; Gammaproteobacteria; Enterobacterales; Erwiniaceae. The record is from RNAcentral.